UACGUAGGGUGCAAGCGUUAAUCGGAAUUACUGGGCGUAAAGCGUGCGCAGGCGGUUGUGUAAGACAGAUGUGAAAUCCCCGGGCUCAACCUGGGAAUUGCAUUUGUGACUGCACGGCUAGAGUGUGUCAGAGGGGGGGUAGAAUUCCACGUGUAGCAGUGAAAUGCGUAGAUAUGUGGAGGAAUACCGAUGGCGAAGGCAGCCCCCUGGGAUAACACUGACGCUCAUGCACGCAAGCGUGGGGAGCAAA
RNAcentral lists this ribosomal RNA (250 nucleotides) under uncultured Oxalobacteraceae bacterium. Its description in RNAcentral is "partial 16S ribosomal RNA". It matches the Rfam family "Bacterial small subunit ribosomal RNA", at positions 524 to 772 of the family's 1533-position model. Lineage: Bacteria; Pseudomonadati; Pseudomonadota; Betaproteobacteria; Burkholderiales; Oxalobacteraceae. The record is from RNAcentral.